Molecule: ribosomal RNA, 401 nt
Filed under: uncultured bacterium
Lineage: Bacteria
Description: bacterial SSU rRNA
Rfam family: Bacterial small subunit ribosomal RNA
Source: RNAcentral
UGGGGAAUAUUGGACAAUGGGCGAAAGCCUGAUCCAGCAAUGCCGCGUGAGUGAUGAAGGCCUUAGGGUUGUAAAGCUCUUUUACCCGGGAUGAUAAUGACAGUACCGGGAGAAUAAGCCCCGGCUAACUUCGUGCCAGCAGCCGCGGUAAUACGAAGGGGGCUAGCGUUGCUCGGAAUCACUGGGCGUAAAGCGCACGUAGGUGGGUCGUUAAGUCAGGGGUGAAAUCCCGGAGCUCAACUCCGGAACUGCCUUUGAUACUGGCGACCUUGGAGUCCGGGAGAGGUGAGUGGAACUGCGAGUGUAGAGGUGAAAUUCGUAGAUAUUCGGAGGAACACCAGUGGCGAAGGCGACUCACUGGACAUGUAUUGACGCUGAGGUGCGAAAGCGUGGGGAGCAAA